Long non-coding RNA from Pecten maximus, 512 nucleotides. RefSeq lists it as uncharacterized. The record is from RefSeq and is a predicted model, not a curated record. NCBI's taxonomy places the organism in Eukaryota, Metazoa, Mollusca, Bivalvia, Pectinida, Pectinidae. The transcript has 2 exons.
UGAAGAUUAUCUUAUGAUUAUGAAAAUGGACUAUUGUUGUGAUGAAGAUUAUCAAUAGGACAAUGGACUAUUGUUGUGAUGAAGGUUAUCUUAUGAUUAUGAAAAUGGACUAUUGUUGUGAUGAAAGUUAUCAAUAGGACAAUGGACUAUUGUUGUGAUGAAGGUUAUCAAUAGGACAAAGGACUAUUGUUGUGAUGAAGGUUAUCAAUAGGACAAAGGACUAUUGUGAUGAAGAUUAUCAAUAGGACAAUGGACUAUUGUUGUGAUGAAGGUUAUCAAUAGGACAAAGGACUAUUGUUGUGAUGAAGAUUAUCAAUAGGACAAAGGACUAUUGUUGUGAUGAAGGUUAUCACUAGGACAAAGGACUAUUGUUGUGAUUAAGAUUAUCAAUACUAAAAAGGACUAUUGUUGUGAUAAAGGAAAUCUAAUAUUACAAAGGACUAUUGUUGUGAUGAUGACAAAGGACUAUUGUUAGACCACACAUGGUCAUGUAUUAAAGCAUUAUGUAAAUU